This 253-nucleotide ribosomal RNA is filed under the name uncultured bacterium. Its description in RNAcentral is "partial 16S ribosomal RNA". It matches the Rfam family "Bacterial small subunit ribosomal RNA", at positions 524 to 776 of the family's 1533-position model. The record is from RNAcentral.
UACAGAGGGUGCGAGCGUUAAUCGGAGUGACUGGGCGUAAAGGGCGCGUAGGUGGAUAAUCAAGUAAGAUGUGAAAUCCCUGGGCUUAACCUAGGAAUGGCAUCUUAAACUGGUUGUCUUGAGUGCGGUAGAGGGUAGCGGAAUUUCCGGUGUAGCGGUGAAAUGCGUAGAGAUCGGAAGGAACACCCGUGGCGAAGGCGGCUACCUGGACUGAGACUGACACUGAGGCGCGAGAGCGUGGGGAGCGAACAGG